Molecule: ribosomal RNA, 462 nt
Filed under: Triticum aestivum (bread wheat)
Lineage: Eukaryota; Viridiplantae; Streptophyta; Magnoliopsida; Poales; Poaceae
Description: partial small subunit ribosomal RNA
Source: RNAcentral
AUGGACGCCUCGGCCACCGGCGCCGUCUCCAAGGUGAAGAAGUACGUGGUGGGGCGCAAGCUUGGCGGCGGCCCUAGGAAGAAGGCGGUGGCUCGAUCCGUCAAGGCCGGGCUGCAGUUCCCCGUCGGCCGCAUCGGCCGCUUCCUCAAGAAGGGUCGCUACGCGCAGCGCGUCGGCAUGGGCGCCCCCGUCUACCUCGCCUCCGUCCUCGAGUACCUCGCCGCCGAGCUUCUAGAGCUCGCCGGGAACGCCGCCAAGGACAACAAGAAGUCCCGCAUCAUCCCGCGCCACCUGCUGCCCGCCAUCCGGAACGACCAGGAGCUCGGCAAGCUGCUCGCCGGCGUCACCAUCGCGCACGGCGGCGUGCUGCCCAACAUCAACCCCGUGUUGCUCCCCAAGAAGACGGCUGAGAAGGAGCCCAAGUCGCCCAAGAAGGCCGCCAAGUCCCCCAAGAAGGCUUAG